This 528-nucleotide ribosomal RNA is filed under the name uncultured Cortinarius. RNAcentral's name for it is "eukaryotic LSU rRNA". The stretch from base 183 to 336 matches the Rfam family "5.8S ribosomal RNA". The record is from RNAcentral. Lineage: Eukaryota; Fungi; Basidiomycota; Agaricomycetes; Agaricales; Cortinariaceae.
UAUAUCUCCACUUGUGCACCUUUUGUAGACUUGGAUAGUUUUCUGAAUGCCUUUGUAGCAUGUCAGGUUUGAGGAUUGACUAUCUUGUCUAUCUUUACAUUGUCCAGGUCUAUGUUUCUUCAAUAUACCCAAUCUAUUGUAUUAGAAUGUAGUAAUAGGCCUUUGUGCCUAUAAACUUAUACAACUUUCAGCAACGGAUCUCUUGGCUCUCGCAUCGAUGAAGAACGCAGCGAAAUGCGAUAAGUAAUGUGAAUUGCAGAAUUCAGUGAAUCAUCGAAUCUUUGAACGCACCUUGCGCUCCUUGGUAUUCCGAGGAGCAUGCCUGUUUGAGUGUCAUUAAUAUAUCAACUUCUUCAGCUUGUUGAGUGUUGGAUGUGGGGGUUUUUUUUGCUGGCCUUUUCUGAAGGUCCAGCUCCCCUGAAAUGUAUUAGCGGAACAAUUUGUUGACUGUUCAUUGGUGUGAUAAUUAUCUGCGCUAUUGAACUGUGAGGCAAGUUCAGCUUCUAAUGGUCCAUUGAUUUGGACAAU